RNAcentral lists this transfer RNA (70 nucleotides) under Nephila pilipes (giant wood spider). Its description in RNAcentral is "tRNA-Ile". The record is from RNAcentral. Lineage: Eukaryota; Metazoa; Arthropoda; Arachnida; Araneae; Nephilidae.
AUCCCAGUGGCAAUUGGUUAGCGCGCGUACUUAUAAUGCGAGGUUGUGGGUUCGAUCCUCACCUGGGAAA